UCCCCCUAUUAUUAGAUUUUUUUUUUUUAGUAUUUUAAUCUCCAAAGUCAAUUUUCUUGUUUAUCAAUAUAAGAUAUCUUAAAUUAAUUUCCUUCCAUGAAUUGGGAUCAUGGGAAGAGAUGGAGAUUACCCAUCUAUCAUAUUGAUAAAACUCUAUUUUUUCAAUUUAAUAAUAUUUUUAUUUUUUAAAAAAUUACAGAAAAUAGAACAGAUGAAAAUCAUAUUUGAGCAAU
RNAcentral lists this long non-coding RNA (233 nucleotides) under Elaeis guineensis (African oil palm). RNAcentral describes it as "long non-coding RNA (EGUI_LNC025430)". The record is from RNAcentral. Lineage: Eukaryota; Viridiplantae; Streptophyta; Magnoliopsida; Arecales; Arecaceae.